GCUGCUGUUCAACAGCUGAGCCCAGCGAGGCUGGCUUUCAGCAGAGGCUGUUCUCCUGCAACAUGUUCAGAGUGAAAAGUGCAGUUUCCUGUUCCAUUCGGCUCUGAGCAGCUCACCCCCUGCUGGCUUCAGAUCUGUCGCAUUGAAGACCUCAGCUGGUGCUGGUCUCCUCUCUGAAGCAGAGUCUCUCAACCAGUUAGCCUCAAGAAAAGCGCAGGGGGGCUUGUGCAGGCUGGAGAACCGGCUGAGCCAAGGUCUGAGGCCAUGGCUCAUUUUCCCUGCUGCUCUGAGGUGAGCACCCCAUCUGUGAGGCUCAGGAGCUGGUCCGACCCUGCAGGCAUUACUGAGGCUGGAGCGUUGGCAUGUGCCCUAGGAGGAAUGCUCACUUAAGAUAUCUGCAGUUGGAAAGUCUCCGCAUCUCCCUCCUGACACCACUGUCUUCUCAGAAUAAUAAAUCACCACACUUUAUAUGAA
Lagenorhynchus albirostris (white-beaked dolphin) is the source of this 474-nucleotide long non-coding RNA. RefSeq lists it as uncharacterized. NCBI's taxonomy places the organism in Eukaryota, Metazoa, Chordata, Mammalia, Artiodactyla, Delphinidae. The record is from RefSeq and is a predicted model, not a curated record. The transcript has 2 exons.